This 6475-nucleotide long non-coding RNA is filed under the name Sus scrofa (pig). RNAcentral describes it as "lncRNA (ENSSSCG00050022871.1)". The record is from RNAcentral. Lineage: Eukaryota; Metazoa; Chordata; Mammalia; Artiodactyla; Suidae.
UAUAUAUGUUUUCUGUACAUGUGUGGAUAGAAAUGCACAGUGCAAGUGUAGGAAGUCCCUCACUCAGCUGGUAACUAUGAUAACCACUGAGGGCUCAGGACCAGAGAGGAGAUGAACUUGGCCUCAGGUCUUAUUCCACCUCAUAUAUUCUUUUAACCUUUCAUAAAUGUGCAAUAUUUUGGUACUAUUUGAAAUAAUCAAAAUUAUACUUAUGUAAUCUCUAGUUUGCUUCUAUUAUCUUCAUCCUCAUUUACUUAAAAACGUAUCCCAGCAAGGAAGAGCAAUUUGGAAAGGCAUUAAUUGGAGCCCUGUUUGUGUUCUUAUGUUCUGGGCUAUCGAGCGAGAAUGAGGAUUGUUUGUCAAAGCAGGACCAGCUGGGAUUCUCUGGCUGCCUCCCAGGCGCAACUGUGAAGACACGGAUCCUGGGUGCUCUCCCACCUCGUCAGGAGCAGCGCUUCUCCUGUCUGCUCUUGGCACCCCACAGCAUCCUGUGCCCUGCUAAGGUGUUAACUGACAACUGACAGAUUUGACUAAGAGCUUACUCUUCUCAGUAGUAUUUUCAUUUUAAAAGUUGACUUAAAAAAAAAAAAAACAACACUAAAAAGAUGGAAGAAAGAAAGAAAGAAAAAAAACACCCGUACUUCUGAGAUUCAUGGAAUAAAGUUUCUUCAUGAUAGCUCCCAAAAUGAUCACUAUUCUCUCAUCUUUGAAGCAAAUUAAGCAAAUGGUCUCUUGACCUCUGAAUUCACAUUAUCACUUUCCACUCCAAAUUUUCACUAGAAUAGUCUCUUCUAUUAGUCUCCCAACUACUACAACUGCAGUGUGAUCUGGCUUUCAUCUCUCCUGACACUGGGCUCUCAUCAUCAUUAAUAUCUAAUUGCCCAAUUAGGGGAUUUCUUUUCAAUUUACUUCAGUGCUCUCUAGGAGAGUGCAGUUGUGGCUUUGUCAUGGUCACUAGUUUGUCUGUUUGCCUGUCUCCCCACUUUGAGAGUGAGCUGCUUUCUGUCUGAAUCUCUGCUGCAUCCAUCUUCAUAACACUGUUGUCCUUGCUAGUGCUUAGCCCGUGAUAACCCUGGCCAUGGAGGUACUCCUUUUACAGACUGGAUGGUUGGGGAGGAGGCCCAGUGCUGAUCACAUAGUAGGAGUGAAUAAAAUACGUGCAGAAGCAUGACAGGCAGUGUGGGUGCUAGAUUGGGGGAGGAAUUUUGAGCAGGUUAAUUCCUUUAGCAGCUCUUCAAUAAUGCUACCUGUCCACUCUUCAGUUUUGCUCUGAUUAGAAGAAGUAGGAAGAUAUGAAGGUAUAAUUCGGCGUGAGGACUAGAAUGAUAUUUGAUUGAAAGAGAGGAAUGUCAUCUCCACCAUUACAUUGGGUAAAGCCUGGAAAUAAGAGAAGGAGAGAGUCAUUCUAAUAUUAGCACAAAUGGCUAAUUCCAGUGCCUAGGGUUUUAUCAUACAUUAUUCUUAUCCCUAACCCUCCAACGACUCAGGCCUGGCUCUUCCAUACUGCAAAUAUAUUUCAAUAUGUAAAGCCAUGGAAUUGAAGAUGGCCUUUAGUUACUUUUAAUGACAUGUGUAAGCAGGUCCUGAGUUCUGCUGAAGAGGUAGGUACAGGAUCUUGGCUUUGAAUGUGAGUUUUCAAAAUGCUGUAGUGAAAAAUAGCACUUUUUAACAUGACCCUACCUUGCAAAUAUCUUCUCUAUUUAUUGCCCUGAGGUCCUGUUGUUUGCAUUUUAUUAUGGUGCAGACCAUGUUUGGGGCUGGUGCUAGGAAGGGAUAAUGAGUGGAGAGGGAAAGGUCUGUAGACAGGUGACAAACAUGCUAAGAUGCACUUAGUGACUUUCCUUCCACUGAACACCUCAGAAGUUAAAAUAAUUGUUAAAUUUAGCCUGCUCUGACUAUAACAGAAAUACAACCAUUGUAAUAGAAACAUGUCAUAAGAUCAAUGUCUUCUACUUCUAAAUCAGACAUCUUUGCUGUGCCCCUGUGUUUGUUUUUGCUUUAGAAGCUGAGUCCACAAUUAUAUGAUGAUAAUGUAUUUUGAUUCUAUUUUUACCUUAAAACUGGUUUCCUCGGGGGCCUAUCCUUCUGGUAUGUUUGUUCAAUUGACAUGUUUAAAAAUCUUUGUAAGAGCUGUAUUGAAAUGACAGAUAUUUUAUAUCACCAAAAUAAACCACAACCUCCAAGGCUGAUGAUAAACUCCAGUCCUGGUCUCGGCUACUGUCUGCUUAAAGCUCUUAGCUGCUUUUCAGAUGUUGGCAUAGUUGUCAGUCAUUCUGUAUCAUGCUUAUAGUUUGUGUGAGAAAGCCAUUCAUUAAAUUGCAGCCUCCUAGACUCAAAGAACACUUGCUAAAUGCUUUCAGAUAGAAUGCCACCUUACUCUGUAAAAUAUGGGGAAUCUUGUAAGGAAAAGAGAUACCUGAGGGAAAGAGCAAAUUAUAGGAGAGAAAAGUAACAAAACACAUUUCUCCAUUCUCUAUUAAACUUUUGAUAAGAACAGAGAAUAACACUUAAUUCCUCUCUUUCCUAUGUGUGUUUUUGUUAUUUGACCAGUAAAGCUCCUUGAGAACAGGAAACAGAUACUACACUGGUGACCUUGAGAUUAUAAAGAAAUGACUACCCAGUUAUUACUUAACUGUGGUAAUUCCAGAUUUUCCUUAUAUUCUACCAUCUUUUCUGUCCUUUCGGUAAACUCUCCCUUCUCCAAGGCCAGAAGGACUUCUAAAUUACAGGUAAGUGAAUGGCACAUUUGGUGAAAGGCAAGGGAAUGCCACCUUUUCUCUGCACUACUACCAGUCCUCUGCUCCACCUUGCCUGUUAACUGGUCCUAUCAAUUCCACAAUAUUUUCAUACCUCUUUUUUGUACAUAUCCUUUUCAUCCUUUUAUUUUAGUCAAAUAUGCAGAUGGACCAGACUAAGAUUUCUCUCUAAAGUGCCAACUCAAGUAUUUAUCAUUGUCACCUGUCUUUUAACCUACAGGAACUAAGUUUCCAACCAGAGAGUGCCACAUGUGCACCAAGCAGUGUGUGAAAACCAAGUAACUAAUAUGUCUCACAAUGCAUAAUGCAUUAUGUAUGUUUAUAUAUCAUAUGACAUAAAAUUAUUUAUUUAUAUAUUAUUUUCAAAUGUCUGUUUGCAGUAGGUGAAGCAAUCUGUGACAAGUUCAAACUUCUAUGUUCGAGGUGGGAAUUGCAAAUCAUCUUGGAGCAGAGUUCGUUAAUUAUGGGAGGGUUUACUUGUGUGAUUCUUUUUUGUUAAGCACUUGUAAGGCAAGAAAAUCCUAUUGUCCUGGAGAAUCUUGUAAUAGAAACUCCUUGGCACCUGGCCUCUUGGUUUUCAGAGUUAGUCUUUCAGGAGAAGGAUAACCAGAAGCCAGAUAUGUCCUCACAUAGGAGAAGGGGUUGAGAGGGUUCUCUGGGUCUCUUUUAUAAGGUUACUAAUCCCAUCAUGAGGACCCACAUGAACUGAUUACCUCUCAAAGACCCCACCCCCAAAUACUAUUAUUUUGGGGAUUAGGUUUCAACAUGUGGGUAUUGGGGGGAUACAAACUUUCAGUCUAUAACACAGUCCAAAUCUAGCUGAUGAUAAAAGAACAAAAGCACCAGAGGGGUCCUCGCUAUGAGGGAAAUGGCUGGGGUCUUGGUCUCAGUAUGGAUCCAGGUGGUUUUAUGGGAGGUUGGAGCCAGCGCACCACGUCUGAGCCAGGAUGUACCCGCAAGUCUUGCCACCCUUUGGGAAGGAAUGACUGAAUAUAUUAUGAGUCUUAUCUGGGGACCUUCAGAAAUGCUGACAGGAAACAGACCAGCAAAGUCAUCACUGCGCAGUAAGUUAGUGGCCUCUGUACCACAGGAUUAGCAGCCAUUCAAUAGCAAUAUGGCAAUCACCAUGAACUGACAGCCUUUCACAGUUCUGUUUCCACCUGGUGUUUAGAAGAAGGAAUUGAUACACUUUCUUCUCAGUAAACCCUAGGACUAUUUAGUAGGAUUUAGAAGAUGUUUGCUAAUGGACACCUAGGGUAAUUUAAUGGAUAAUUGAAAAAACAAAAGAGAUAUGUGAUUCUGUUUAUAUACCAAGCUUGUAAAAUGGGUCACACUACUUGCAUAUGGAUAUUACCAUGAUUCCCAAUAGUCACCAUUAUGAAUUCAGAGUAGUCUUUGACAUUUUGUAUUUUGUUAAUUGACAGAUACCAUGUGGGAGUUUGGAAAGUUAUUUAAUAUCAAAAAAGGGACUCCUGAUUCUAAAAAGCAUUACUGAAUUGAGGGGGAAAAAACCCUCUUAGGGUUCAAGUGAGCCUAUCCCUUGUUCCUACUGAUCAAAACUCUUAAGAAACACCAAAAAGACUGUGAUUAAAUCUGAGGACAGUCAUGAAAAGUCUAGAGUGCAUUUCACACCUGGGAUAGGAAGCAAUCCUACUUGAAACAAUCAGUGAGAACUUUCUAGUCUUUAAAGCACUUGGAAGAAUAGAAAGAGGUCAUAAGUAGCCAGGUGUAUUAAUUUGCUAGGGCUGUCAUAACAAGAUACCACACACUGAGUGCCUCAAACAAGAGAAAUGUAUUUUCUCAGUUCUGGAGGCUGAAAUUCCAAGAUCAAAGUGUUUGCAGAGCUGGUUUCUUCUGAAGCCUCUCUUUUUGGCUUGAAGAAUCCUUUCACUACAUAUUUACAUGGUCAUUUCUCAUUUUGCACUGUGUCCUAAUCUUUUUUAUAAGGAUACCAGUCAUAUUGAAAUACAACCGCAUGACCUCAUUUUACCUUAAUUGCCUCUUUAGAGAAACUGUCUCCACAUACAGUCACAUUCUGAGGUUACUAGGGGUUAGGAAUUCAAUUUGUGAGAUUGUGGGACACACAGUUCAGCAUGCAACACCAGGUGAGACUGAGAGGGAUCCCCGAAAGGGUGGCUGCUGCAUAAAUGGCUGGAUCCCUGGCUCUUCCUCUUCUUUGGAUGUGGUGCUAUGGUCUUAACUCCUAACAGCCCUCAAGUCCCUGAAAUUCUAGCUUAUAUAAAGUUGGGAAAAGGAAGUUCAGCUCUUAUUGAAUGAUGAAGAACAAGGAUGCCUGGAGGUGCAAGAGUGUCACUGAUAUGUGGGAGUUUAGAUUCAUGCACCCAGAGUUGGAAGUGGAAAUCAGUGUCAAUGCAGAAACAUCUUUCUAUGUCACGGUCAGUUGCUUUUAGGUGAUCCGUUUUCUGUUUCAGGGAUGUCAUUGGUUAAAACAGCUUUCCUGAUCAGGCUGAGUAUUUCCCAAAAUAAUGUGGUCUAUUUGUUUGCUAAUGGUAAAACAGAGAAUAUUAAUUAUAACCUAGUCAUACAGAGAGUCUUUCUAAACAACCCCUUUUCCUCCUCAGGGCCUAUCAUGGUGAUUCUUAAAUAUGUUUUCAUUGAUUAGUUUUUGGUUCACUGAAUUUUACAGAACACCUUCAGGCUUCCUCAAGCUGUGCCUAAAUAUUUCUUGAGGAUGAUCAAGUUAUACAGAACACAGGACUGACUCUAUGUACUUUCUGCUGUUGUGUUUUAAUUCCAAUGGUCAUGACUGGGAUCAAGUAGACAGAAUAGAGAUAUAAUUGACAUAUCAGAUUCAUGAAUUCAUGCAAGAAUCCUUACAAGAAAGUGAUUACACAUUUUUCUUUAACAGAAACAGCUGGUGUCAAUGAUGCAGAUAGCUGAAGUUUUAUUUGGAUGACAGCAGUUGGUAUAACAACUCUCCUGCUGCUUACAUUUAAAACACCCCAAACAGACACAUGCCACUGAGUGGAGAGCACAGCUCAAGUGUUCCAAUGUGGGACGUAAACCCUAGUCUGGCCUGGGACACUGGAGGCGGGAGCACUGUGAAGGCACUCUUCUUGGAUAGCACUUUACAAGUCUGGAUUUUUUUUCUUAACUGAAUCCUCCCAUGGUGUAUCCAUUUCCAUGUGGACCUUGUGAGUUUUAAAUUAAAAUGAUCACUGUCUUUCAUUUUUACUGAAGGAAGUACAAGAGAUAAUGGGCCCCAAAAUCUGAAAUGAAGGUUGAGCCUGUCCCUAUAAUGAACGUUUUUUAAAAUAUUGAAUAUUUUCAAUUUAGUUAGAGCCAAAAGUGUUUUUCUUAAGUUUCUUGGGGAAAUUAAUUUUUAUAAAGGAUUGAGUGAUUCACAGGCCAGAAUAAAAGCUUUAGGUAUUAAAAAAAUAAAGCACACUUCCUCCUGGUGCUUCUAUGGACCUCUUUAAGCAGGAGGAGAAUUAAUAAUGAUAAUGCCAUAACUACCAUUGCCUAUUUGCAAUCUGCUAGGUGUUUUGCAUACAUUAUUUAAUUUUUACAACUCUCUAUGGGCCUAUUCUUAGCUUCAUUUUCAUAUUUAGAAAGCUGAGGAUCAGAGAGGUUAAAUAACUUCCCUACAGUUACAGAGCUAAUGCAGUGAAGCAGGAAUUUGAAGUCAGUCUGGCUGGCUCCAAAACUGCUCCUUUUAACACUGCCCUUAAUUAUUGUACUAUAAGGUCAUAGAUUAC